UUUUAAAAUGUAAACUUCAAAUACCACCCCUCUGUGGUUUUGUAUUUUCUUACUUUAGUACUCUAUAGUUUAAAGUGUACUAAUUUAGUAUCAUGUGAUUUUAUUUUUCUUUUUUCGUCAGCCCUUCAUUAACUUUUCGUUGAAUCAUAUAUAAAAAAUUUCAGAUACCCCACAUAUAGUUUAUCAAAUAAUCACUUUGGUACUCUUUAGUUUUAACUUUAUCCCUGGUUUAAUGAAAAAAAUUAGUAAAAGUGAUAACAAAAAGAGAAAAAUAAAAUCACAAGGUACGAAAGUGAUACACUUUAAAUCACAUGGUACUAAAGUGAAAAAAAGUGCGAAAUCACAUAAGUGUAUUUGAAGUUUUUCCUUAAAUAUAAGGGAUAAAGUG
Molecule: long non-coding RNA, 388 nt
Filed under: Ananas comosus (pineapple)
Lineage: Eukaryota; Viridiplantae; Streptophyta; Magnoliopsida; Poales; Bromeliaceae
Description: long non-coding RNA (ACOM_LNC016261)
Source: RNAcentral